RNAcentral lists this ribosomal RNA (778 nucleotides) under uncultured bacterium. Its description in RNAcentral is "bacterial SSU rRNA". It matches the Rfam family "Bacterial small subunit ribosomal RNA", at positions 61 to 807 of the family's 1533-position model. The record is from RNAcentral.
GUCGAGCGAGCGGAACCACAGAUUUACUUCGGUAAUGACGUUGGGAAAGCGAGCGGCGGAUGGGUGAGUAACACGUGGGGAACCUGCCCCUAAGUCUGGGAUACCAUUUGGAAACAGGUGCUAAUACCGGAUAAUAAAGCAGAUCGCAUGAUCAGCUUUUGAAAGGCGGCGUAAGCUGUCGCUAAGGGAUGGCCCCGCGGUGCAUUAGCUAGUUGGUAAGGUAACGGCUUACCAAGGCGACGAUGCAUAGCCGAGUUGAGAGACUGAUCGGCCACAUUGGGACUGAGACACGGCCCAAACUCCUACGGGAGGCAGCAGUAGGGAAUCUUCCACAAUGGACGCAAGUCUGAUGGAGCAACGCCGCGUGAGUGAAGAAGGUUUUCGGAUCGUAAAGCUCUGUUGUUGGUGAAGAAGGAUAGAGGUAGUAACUGGCCUUUAUUUGACGGUAAUCAACCAGAAAGUCACGGCUAACUACGUGCCAGCAGCCGCGGUAAUACGUAGGUGGCAAGCGUUGUCCGGAUUUAUUGGGCGUAAAGCGAGCGCAGGCGGAAAAAUAAGUCUAAUGUGAAAGCCCUCGGCUUAACCGAGGAACUGCGUCGGAAACUGUUUUUCUUGAGUGCAGAAGAGGAGAGUGGAACUCCAUGUGUAGCGGUGGAAUGCGUAGAUAUAUGGAAGAACACCAGUGGCGAAGGCGGCUCUCUGGUCUGCAACUGACGCUGAGGCUCGAAAGCAUGGGUAGCGAACAGGAUUACAUACCCUGGUAGUCCAUGCCGUAAAC